AAAAAGGGCGGGGCCCUCGCGGCCCAACCUCCCACCCGUGUCUCUCUCUACCUGUUGCUUUGGCGGGCCCACCGGGGCCACCCGGUCGCCGGGGGACGUCCGUCUCCGGGCCCGCGCCCGCCGAAGCGCUCUGUGAACCCUGAUGAAGAUGGGCUGUCUGAGUCGAAUGAAAAUUGUCAAAACUUUCAACAAUGGAUCUCUUGGUUCCGGCAUCGAUGAAGAACGCAGCGAAAUGCGAUAAGUAAUGUGAAUUGCAGAAUUCCGUGAAUCAUCGAAUCUUUGAACGCACAUUGCGCCCCCUGGCAUUCCGGGGGGCAUGCCUGUCCGAGCGUCAUUUCUGCCCUCAAGCCCGGCUUGUGUGUUGGGUGUGGUCCCCCCGGGGACCUGCCCGAAAGGCAGCGGCGACGUCCGUCUGGUCCUCGAGCGUAUGGGGCUUUGUCACUCGCUCGGGACGGAUCGGCGGAGGUUGGUCACCACCACAGUUUUACCACGGUUGACCUCGGAUCAGGUAGGAGUUACCCGCUGAACUUAAGCAUAUCAAUAGCCGGAGGAA
This 553-nucleotide ribosomal RNA is filed under the name Penicillium sp. 2SF. Its description in RNAcentral is "partial 18S ribosomal RNA". The stretch from base 181 to 334 matches the Rfam family "5.8S ribosomal RNA". The record is from RNAcentral. Lineage: Eukaryota; Fungi; Ascomycota; Eurotiomycetes; Eurotiales; Aspergillaceae.